Long non-coding RNA from Pocillopora verrucosa, 2423 nucleotides. RefSeq lists it as uncharacterized. NCBI's taxonomy places the organism in Eukaryota, Metazoa, Cnidaria, Anthozoa, Scleractinia, Pocilloporidae. The record is from RefSeq and is a predicted model, not a curated record.
GGCUGGGGGAGUCAUAGAUUCUGUCGCGUGGCCGAAAUUUCUUAAAAUAUUUCAUAUUUUGAUUCAACUUUCGUCGACAAAUGGCUUGAGAACGAUGGAAAGGUCCCAAAGAAAGUCGUAACUCGUGGUUACAGCAAUUUCUGCGAAGGCUAUAUAUCUUUGAUAUCGAAGUGAAAACACUAGAAGCAGGUGUCGUCGUAAGAACUCGAAGCUACAGAUCACAGCGGAAAAAUGAAGAGCCAUGGAGGUUGCAGGUUGAAAUCUGAAGGGCUUGUGAAGUACAAAUAUCAAACACCUCUUGCAACUGUGAGGCAGGAUCAGGAAUGUGCAACCAUGCAAUAGAGUUGGUUUAUCUCCUUGAGCACUAUCAAAAAUUGGGUUUACGAAGUGUACCUCUGCUAUGUCCAAGACAAGUUUGCCUCAAAGAAUGGCCGGGAUAAAUUCUCGGGAAUUGCAGGAGGUGCUGGUAUUGCAGGUGAAACUACCAGCCAAAGGUGGGGAAGUGAAAAAAAAAAAACAACAACGCAGGGUAGAUGGAUCAAUCCCUGGGGGCUGCUGGAAAUCAAGUGCCCCCUCAGUGAUCCAGUCUCAGAGCUGAAAUAUCUUUAAUGUGGAAAUGGACUCUAUAAACUCAAACUCUGUGAGUUUGUGUCAGCAGUGAGCUAAGCCAUAGUCUAUAGUGGGCUUAAGUAAGUUUAUUGAGGAUAAUUACUGUACUGUCUUUUGGAGUCACUCCUAAGUAAGAAUAUUGUUAUGUCAUUUAAUUAAGUAGUUGAGUUUAUAGGAGUUUAUACCUCCCUGGACAUGGAGGUAUUACCAUUUUCUGGAUCACACAGAUUUACAAAAAGAAACUUUCCUUACUGAAAUUCAAUUGUAUUUGUUUUGGUUUAUUAAGCACACAUUGCAAAGAACCUGCUUAACUUAGUUGAGGUGUCACAAAUGUUAUUAUAGAACCAAGGUUUUCUAAACAAAAUUAAUAGGAAAUUAAAGUUUCAAUAUAAUGGCCCUCUAAAAUUAGUCAGAAGGCAGCAUAUAGUCCAAAUUUGGUUUACUGAACCAGCCAGUGAAAGAGGUAAAACUUGUUCAAAAAUUUGGUACUCUUUUAUUUGCCUGAUUUCCCUCUCAGCAUGGAUAUGGAGGUGGGCAAUUUGUUGGGUAUCAGUCACUUCAGUCUCUAGUGCUGAACUGUAAGGACUUUGCUCUUAACAAGAAUGGUGGGAUUGUCAAGUUAGCUUUUUUAGUUUCCAAUAAAUCCUGUAUUAAGAAACCCUUAUCUGCCAUUACCUUGUCUCCAUCUGUGACAAGCAACAGAAAUCCACUGUGCCUUGUCAUUUCUUUGUCUGAUAUACUUCCCUGAUAUGAGGAACUAACAAAUGUUACUGUGCCAUGAGGAGCUAUACCAGCUAAGUAUUUGAAUGUGGUAUAUGACUUGUAUGUGUAUGCAAAAUUUCUGAGUUCAAGACCUUGGAGCUAGGCCUCUGGACUUUGAUCUCAGUGCAGUCUAGGAUUAUCCUUGUUUUAGGGUAUGUGGCUUUGAAGCACUGAGGCAUACUCCUUUUAAUCUGAGCAGUUGUGGGCCAAAUUGGCACUUGGCCAAGCAUUGAAACAGAAAAUUUGCCCAAGUUAUAAUAAUUCUGCUGACAGUGCUUGUGUUAAUAUUGAAUCUCACUCCUAAGUUUGUCUCCCGCAAGCCUAAUCUCAGUCUGACAGUGCAAAAUUAUCAGUGCCACGCCUUCGCUGGUAGUUUUCUUCACCUCUGCCACGUUGAAUCUGGGUUUUAUCAUGGUUUUAGCAUAUGGCUCAACCCAUUUGUAAAAGCUAUCAAAUCGUUCUUUCGUUGCAAAGCCUGUGUAUAAUGCAAGCAACUCCGGAUCCUUUGAAAUGUUUUCAGCACCAAAUUUGGACUCUUAAAAAUCUUUGACUUGUUAAUCUAGAUCUUUGAUUCUGGCCAUAAGUAUUUCAAUUUGUUCCUCAGGGCUUAUUUCGGCCGGCUGAAUGUUUUCGUUUUCCGGUUCGUCCGUGGCCAUUCCUUGCAUUGGCUCAGCACCAGCCCAAGUUUCCUGCCCUGCUGACUCAGCCUCCUCUUCUUCCAUCUCGACAUCUUGCUGGAGUGAACCGACCAAGAAUUGACGUCGCUCCUAUUGUGCUUGCUGGUCCGCAAUAUUUUUCAAUUCUUGCAAUUUGUUUUUUCGGCACUCUUUUCCCUCCUUAGUCCAUGCAAACUGCGGUUGGCACAACUCCAGGUUUUAGCCGUGUAACCGUAACCCAAGUUAUAGUCCCAUACAUAUCCUCUGGCUUGAAGUGAGCCGUGCACACCAGAGUAGAGCCUUUCUUUAUCUGGAAAAUUUGUUUAAAAGCGUAAGUUAUAACGAGAAUAAACUAGGGAGGAUCUCAUUUCUUACAUAUGACAAAAUCCGAGCUAA